RNAcentral lists this unclassified non-coding RNA (240 nucleotides) under soil metagenome. RNAcentral's name for it is "partial contains 5.8S ribosomal RNA, internal transcribed spacer 2, and large subunit ribosomal RNA". The record is from RNAcentral.
AACGGUCUAUACCUGCGGUACCUGCGGAAGGAUCAUUAACGCGCCGUGGAGGUUGCCUUUAAACAGGUCUGACCUUCCACCUGGCCACCCUUGUUUAUCUUUAACCUGUUGCUUUGGUGGGCCCGCUGCAAGGCCGCUGGAGAAUUUAAAAGUUUUCUGGCCCGUGCCCACCAAAGUCCUAGUGAACUCUUUGUUAAUUUUCUGCUGUCUGAGCAUUAAAAGAAACAAUUUUUAAAACUU